AUGAGAAUGAGAUGCAGCUCUGCGCCACUAGAGGGAGCGCGAGGGAACUUCAGAGGAGUGGAGCUGAAAACGAAAGUGAAAUUAGACGAAAAUCAGCAACGUCAUUUCGAGGAGAAAAACGAGUUAACACUGCAGAUUCAAACGGCCACCCGUUUUAUGACAUGGCAUCAAAACCCAUUGAACUGGCAGCCCUAGGAAGACCUCUGUUUCCUGGUAUGCUGUAUGACUGCCGCGAGGAUUCCUUCAUUCCAGGUGCUUUACCUACUUAAAAAAAAUAAAUAAAUGUUCAAUUUUUUCACCCAAUGGUGAAGCCACAACAAAAUUAUGGAAACAUUAAAAUACUUUUCAUAAAAAAGUUA
Long non-coding RNA from Cyprinus carpio (common carp), 359 nucleotides. RefSeq lists it as uncharacterized. NCBI's taxonomy places the organism in Eukaryota, Metazoa, Chordata, Actinopteri, Cypriniformes, Cyprinidae. The transcript has 2 exons. The record is from RefSeq and is a predicted model, not a curated record.